AAAAAGAAGACAAACAACAACGGUUUUAUAUGGGCAAAUCGUCUUAAAAUGUUUUUAUUAUAAUAAUUAUUCUAAGAUGUAUAAUUCUAAUAUAUUUAUUCUCAAAUUUUGCUUUCUUCAUCAUCCAAAUGGUGAGCAGUGCACUGGGCUGACCACUAGGGGCUUUCUGCCAACUCGUAUUUCUUUGUUGUGAAAAGCGGGAAAGCCAACCUUCGUAGUUGGCACUCAACGUGAUCUCAUUCUCAUUUGGGCGUUGCCGGUGGCUGUGAGGACAGCUGGAGUCCACAGAGAUUGAAAUUAAUGCAGUGCAAGUUCUGCAAAUUCAGCCAUGACGUCGAAGCUGUUCUGGUGAAACACUAUCGACUUCAUCACAGAGGUUCGACCUGGCCUUGCAUCCACAGGGACUGUUUUUGUACUUUCAGAACCAUUAGUGCUUUGAAAUCACAUAUUUCAAGAUUGCACAGGACUGUCCAAAGGCAGGAAAAUCUAUCAUUUCAGUGCUCGUUGUGUGACUACAAAGACAUUUGCUGUAAAAAGAAAGUAUUAACUCAUUUGCACCAUCAUCUUAGACUCAGAGAGACCGUGUCUUGCCCAUUUGUAGGCUGCAGCUUUGCAACCAACCGCCUAAAUAGUUUUACAGGACAUACUUCACGGAAUCAUAAAAGCCAUAAUCUUAGAAAUUUUCUGACACCAGUCAGGGUAGUUAAUGAUUUUCCAUCUGACGACAUAGCCCAGCCAUGUAGUGUUGAUCCGGAAGCUGGAGUGUCAUUGACAUGCAGUCCUAGUUUGGAUUCCACAGAAAACGGUCGACCUGAUUGUGCGCAGAAUGUAGACUCUGAAAUACUUCAGCACAAAUUAGCUUCCCUUUUUCUACGCAUGCAAUGCGUACUACAUGUGCCAAAACAUGCAAUACAGGCAAUUAUAGAUGAAUUUAGUGAUAUUUUGUCCUUUUCCAAGUUUCACACAACUAAAAUUCUCAAAGACGUUUUAGCAAAACACAAUAUUGAAGUUGAGGAAGAUGUUAUUCAAGAGAUAAGUAGCACUGUGUUUGAAAAAAAUCCAGUACUUGUUACAACAGCAGAAAAAGGUGCAUUAUCAACAGAUUAUAGAAGGAACAGAUAUUUCAAGGAACAUUUCUCCAUCAUUGAACCAACUGAGUUAUUGUAUGACCGGACUUCAAAAAAAGCAUUUGUUUAUGUUUCUGUGAAUGAGGUUAUUGAGCUUUUGUUGAACAGAGGAGAGUUUCUUGAAAAACUUGUUUUCAGUGAAGAGUCUACUCCAGGGAUUUACAAGACUUUCCAAGAUGGUUCUUACUUUCAGCAAAAUUUUGGAGAAAAUGAGCUACAUAUUGCAUUGGGAUUAUAUAUAGAUGAUUUUGAAUUGUGUAACCCAUUAGGCACAUCGAAGAAAAUCCACAAAAUCACUGCUGUUUAUUGGGUUAUUCUUAAUCUGCCCUCAAAGUUUCGUUCCACUUUACACUCCAUUCAUUUAGCUCUUCUUGGAAAGACUUGUGAUGUCAAACAGUUUGGUUUUGAAAAAUUUUUUAAUCCUUUAGUUAAGGACUUAAAGUCACUGGAACAAACAGGGGUCUUUGUGCAAACUUUGGACAACUAUGUAAAAGGAUCAGUAUUUUGUGUCUGUGCAGAUAAUUUAGGAGCUCAUGGACUGGCCGGCUUUCAGGAAAGUUUCAAUGUAAAGAAUUUCUGUAGAUUUUGUUUGACAAAUCGAGGUGAAAUAGCAACUACAGCAAUUUCUGAUUUUCAGCUACGCUACAGAGAACAGCAUGAUACAUUUCUGCUACAACUUUGUCAAGAAAAUGUUCCACAUGUGAAUGGUGUUAAAAGUGAAUGUGUGUUAAGUAAGCAUCUGUCAAAUUUUCACCCUGUCACGGGUUUUCCUCCAGACAUAUUGCAUGAUUUUUUUGAAGGUGUCAUUCCUGUUGAACUGUCUCUGUGUUUGAAAGAGUUAAUUUUGAAAGGCUUUUUUUCUUUAGAGAGACUAAAUAGCCUUAUCAAUUCAUUCCCUUACAAAUAUUCUGACAGGUUAAAUAAACCAAAGGCAAUUUCUAAAGCAAAUUUUGAAAAGGGCAGCAUAGGUGGCAAUGGCCAUGAGAAUUGGUCUCUCUUACGAUUCCUCCCUCUUCUCAUCGGAAAGAGCGUCCCAGAACAAGAACCCGCAUGGGAAAUACUGAUGGACCUUAAAGAAAUUGUUGAAAUUGUUGUCAGACCUGUUUUGUCAGAGGAAAUAUUGAACUACUUGGAGAUCAAGUUGUCUGAUCACAGAAGCCUGCUCACAGCCACUUUUCCUGCUUUUAGCCUGCGUCCAAAGCAUCACUUUGCUGAACAUUAUCCUUACCUACUACGAUGCUUUGGUCCAUUAGUGGAAUUAUGGACAAUGAGGUUUGAAUCGAAACAUAGCUUUUUCAAGAAGACUAUGCAUGAUGCUCAAAACUUUAAAAAUGUGCUCCUCACACUGUCCACAAAACACCAGCAGAUGAUGGCCUGCUUGUUUGAUAGUCAGAGUCUGUUCAAGUCAAUGUUACAUGUGGAGAAAGUAGCUGACAUCAAAACAUCUUCUUUGGAUGCUCCCCUGCGCGCAGUGAUUAAGAGACACUAUCCACAUCUUGAGGCUGUGUCCCUUUCCAAAGACAUUUAUUUUCAUGGGACCCGAUAUGUUGUGGAUAUGAUUCUGUCAUCUGGGCACUGCAGUGGACUGCCAGAGUUCUAUAAGAUCGUGACCAUAAUUGUUAACCCAGAAAAAGCAGCCUUUGUUGUCAAAAAGCUCACAUCUUGGUACCUUGAACAUUUUAGGUCUUAUGAGCUUAUGGAGAGCAUCUAUGCAAACAUUGAGAUUUUUGAUCCUCAGGCUCUUAACGACUACCAUCCAUUGGUUUCCUACACUGUGGGAGGCAGGGUGUUGGUGACUCCAAAAGUGUGCCUGCUCCAUUGAAGUGACAAGAAUGGCGGGGAUUCUGCUGCUGGUGAAAAUCUCCACAAGAAUGUCCCGCAAAAUGGCACUUCCUGUUGUACCGGAAUCAGUUGAAGAGCUGCAAGAAAUUCUUCAGGAGAAACUUCAACUUCAAGGCAGCUUCACACUACAGUAUGAGGACCGAGACUUUGAUAAUGCUCUCUGUAAUUUGAUUGACAUUCAUGAUUUGCCACCUGAGCGUGCUGUAUUGCACAUUCUUUGGGAUGAGACAGCUCCACUUGUCCGGCAAGAUUUGGACUCUCUUGAAUCAGGAUCUUCCCUUGACACAGCCAGUGUACACAGCGUAAACUCACCUCAAAGUCCCUCAACUUUCAUCAGGCACCAUCUGCGAAGUGUUGCAGAGUGGCCUUCACCUUUUCCCAUCCCGUCCUUCUCCUAUGAUGUGGAGUUGCAGUUGCGCAAAGGCAACGAGGAAUAUGAACGAACCAAGAAAAGUAUCACCUUAACAAGAGACAUGAAGAUCAACAUUUUGGACAGGAUUGCUCAGGCAGUUUUUGAAGUGAAAGCCUAUCCUGAUCAAGAUGAGAUUGAAUCAGUUGCUUCUGCCCUCAUCGAAUCACACCCCUGCCUUCGUGAGCCAAGCAGUGAGAAAGGAUAUGAUGGAUGGAAAAUGAGCAUAAAAUACAAACUGGGCAAUUAUAGGGCCAAGCUGCGUCAGGCAGGCUGUACUGAGGUUAGCAUUAACCACAAAAAACGAAGCUGCAAAGGUGAUGGGGCAAGUCCUUCUCUGAAGAGAGCAAGGCGAGGUGAAAUUAACCACGUUCCCGACCAUCCAGACCACCAUAAUGAUGAUUCCCUGGAGGAUGAAAGACAGGCUCUGGCUGAGAACUUCAACAGAAAGAACAAGAAUGUUGCACUCAUCAGACAAAAGAUGGAGCUGACCUUCUCCUUGAGGCGCAAGGAAAUUAUUGAGCUGGAACCAAUGGUUUCUGAGGUCAUGGAACGGUGGCCGGCUCUGUUUUGCGAGGCAGUGAUUCAGGAAGAAUUUUAUCGGAUCACAAACAGAAACCUUAUUGAGAACUUCAGAACAGCUCUUCAGCAGCACACCGGGAGGCUCCUGAAACUGUAUCGGGCAAGAAGGACUGCUUUUUCCGAUGAGAUGGAUCAACUUCUCAACAGCCUGGAUCAAGAGACAUCUGACAUCACCGCACAUCGCCAGACUGCUGCUUUAAAGGGCCUUCCCUUGUUUCUCCGUGACAGCCAGGAGAAGCUCUUCAGGAACUGUCUCGUCACCCAGCCAGAAGAGGAGCAGACGAAGGGCCUCACGGUGGGAAUCCUUACUUUGCUGGAGGAUGAUGACAGGCCAGCACCCCAAAGUGUCGUGAGUGUGGCUCUUGUUGUGGAAGAGGAGAUCGUCCUGCAAGAUAUUUCUGACCUGCCAGCAGCAUUUGCUUUACUCUUUGGACUGAUCUACGCUUUGAACCUCAAGUAUCCAAAGGAUUUGAGGUAUACAUUUGAAACUGUUCAGAAGGUCUUCAUGGAGCUGGGUACAGACCUUUCAGCAAGGGUCAGAUCCCUGAAGAACAAACUCCUUCAGUGAAUCUACGUUUUCGCUCCCUUCGUUCCAGCCAUGUUCGUUCACUCUGCUAAGGCUCCUCAAAUUCUGUACUUAUGUUUUAUCUCCUGCUCUCCUACAGUUCUUAUAUUUUUUUGGCUUUUAAAUAUGGUGAGCAUUAAGAUUCAAUGUGUGCGUUUUACAAGAUGUUGUGAAAAGAUUUUUAAAGCACUCAGUAACCUUGUUACCAGGUUUUAAAUCGUGCAUCACAGUGCUUUUAUGUAUUUUUGUUGUUAAGUUUACUAUGUGUCACAAGAUGACAGCAGUUGGGUCUCAGUAGUCUUAAUUUCCUUGGAAAGGAAGGGAUGGAGUUGGAAGGGAUUUAUAGUUCUAUUUUCUGAAUAAAACAAAUGUUUUGAACUGAUA
RNA transcript from Acanthopagrus latus (yellowfin seabream), 4909 nucleotides. RefSeq lists it as uncharacterized. NCBI's taxonomy places the organism in Eukaryota, Metazoa, Chordata, Actinopteri, Spariformes, Sparidae. The transcript is spliced from 6 exons. The record is from RefSeq and is a predicted model, not a curated record.